UGAGGAGAACAUUUCAACAUCGAGCAAAUUUUUGAACGGUUGAAGAUAGAUAUGUGACUAAUCGACGAAAAAUGUGCCAAAUGGAAUGGAAAAGUUUUUGGUGAAAAAAAAAUUAUCUACUGGUCACGGUUUGCGAAAUACGAUUUUUUUUUGUCAAGUGCUGAAACAUCAACUCCGCGGCCCGCCACGGUAUAACGCGACAUAUUACAUCAUCCUCGCGGCCGCAACCAUUUUUGUUUUUUAGUCGCGCUUCGUUCGUCGAAGGUGUUAUGUGUGAAGAUGUUAUGUUAUGUGCAGUAUUAUCGGGACUCUUGGCCCUUGGGUGUGAAUAGACACGCUUCCAGAUAGUAAGUUUACCAGCUGUAGGCAAUAAAAUAAGUACAAUAGUUAAUUUCCUUUGUUAACCCAAAAUAAGCAAUGAAGCGUCCACAUAGUAUUGGAAAAGAAUCUCUCAAUUACAACCUGCGCAUAAUAUGUCAAGAAACUGUUCAGAAAUUGACUAGACAAGGCUAUCCUGCAUUAUUUAAUUCAGCCACGUUGAAAUUUGAUGAUAUCUCAGAUUUAUUAAAAAUGGAAAUGACGAAUGAGGAUGAAUUUAUGUCCAAAAAUCCUGUAUUCCAUGCUCAAUGUCGGCGAAAAUAUAAUAUGCAAUAUUAUAAAUCGAAAGAAUAUGUUACAAAGGUUGAUAAAAAAAGUAAGAUAGAGAAACUAUCUCGAGAAAAACUGUUACAGCAAGAUUUAUGCUUUGUCUGUCAAAAAAUGCGGGAUAUUAAAGGUAGUAGAAAAUUGAUAAACAUUUCUUCAUUUUUGCGACAAAACGAAAUUUGGAAGAAAGUCAAGGACUUAAAUGACGUAAACAUGCUAACAAAAAUUGAAGGUUUUGGUGAUUCGUGUGUGGAUAUGAUAGCAAAAGACUUCCAAUAUCACCAACUCUGUAUGACUAGAUAUUUAAAUAAAAAAGAGGCGACAUUGACAAAAUCGCCAAACGUCACAAGUUUCUACCCUUUUAAUGACCUUAAGAAUAUAUUAGUGGUUGAACAAAAAGGCGUUGCCAUCAGUUAGAUUAGGAAAAAAAAUUUGAAAACGCAUGACUCCAUAAUAUAUCUUAUUCUCCAAAAUAUCCCCGUUCGUUAGAUAUUAUAGCAAUUUUGAAAAUGAAAUAUGGAGAAAGUAUUGUGGUUCUAAAAAGACGAGGGCUAUCAUCUGUAGUUUUUUUAGCAAAUUCGAUCAUUAUCAAAAUGAAGAAACACAUUGUCGUAGACGACAGUGAAGCAAGCAUUUAAAGAAUUAUCUAUGGAUAAGUCUUUAAAUGCUCAAAUGAAUUUGGGUAGUUUACUUUUGAGUAUUUACAUUUUAACCGGUUGUGAUACAGUCAGCUUUAUAUUUAAAAAAGGCAAAACCAACGCUUUAAAAAAAUGUUUGAGUUACGAACACGACUAAAAGCACUUUUUACUUAUCCUGAAAAUGCUGGCCAGAAUUUAAAUAAUUUCGAAAACGCGGCUAGAUAUUUUUUUUUAAUUUUUUAUGCUAGGCCAUUAUUUACAGGUGAUUUAAAUAAAUUACGCGCUCAUUUAUUUCAUACCUGUAAAUCAGAUAUAAGGAAUUUGCCACCUACCGAGCAUGCAUUUCAUCAGCAUAUAUUAAGAGCUGCGUAUCAAUUGAUUGUCUGGAAGAGCGCUAUUUUAAUAAACCCAGAAAUUCCCAACCCCGUUGAUUUUGGUUGGGAUUUAAAAGAAAAUAAUUUACUCGUUCCAAAAUUGACCACAAUAAGUAUUCGUCCCGAUGCAAAAUUCGAAAAUGUGUGCUGCAAAUGCAAACUUCAAUGUACUAAAAAUUGUAGUUGUUUAAAAGCAGGGCUAGAUUGUAUAAUAGGUUGUUAUUGCGAGGGUGGGUGUUCUUUAAAUUUAAAUUAAGUUAGUUUAGUUACCCAAAUAUAUUGAUAUAUUUUUUUAGCCUCAUAUAGUUUAUAACGUAACUAUUCCGAAGUAAAUUUAUUUUUUAUUUUUGUGUUAUCAUUAUCCUAUAGUUAUUUUUAUUAUAAUAUACAAAUGAAUAGUGUCGAUAUAAAUUAUUAGUUUAAAUAAAUAUAUUUGUUUCUCUA
This 2101-nucleotide long non-coding RNA is filed under the name Anthonomus grandis grandis. RNAcentral's name for it is "uncharacterized LOC126735989". The record is from RNAcentral. Lineage: Eukaryota; Metazoa; Arthropoda; Insecta; Coleoptera; Curculionidae.